CGAGCCUGUGGUUAAUAAUUGGCCACAGUCACACAGACAUUAAGUGACAGACUCAGGAUAACACAGGUCAGAGAAGUGUCAAGCAGGGAGGAAGCAGUGCUAAUCUUCACACUUGGGUCCUAAACUUACCACAAAGAUAUUUCCUGCGUUUCUACCCCAUAGCGGAGCAAACAGAGAAGGUGUUAAAGGAAACAACAUGAAGCUUUGGCCGUUAAAUUUCAACCCAACAUUGUGAACGCAAUUUUGUGUUUUGUGAAUAGGACUUCAAAAGGAAAACUAGAAGAUUUUAAGAAGAGAAGGAAAGGAGGAGGAGAUGCAAAGAUAAGAGAAAGCAGUGGAGGGAAAGGGAGAGAGGAGAGGACAGAGCGGAACCGAAUAUUUUCUGCACGGCUCAGGGAAGAGCCUCGAGCCUGCCCGACCGACCUGCGCAUUCUGGGGAUCCCAGAAUAAGAUCAACGGAACAAGUAUUUAUGGAAUGACUGAGGAUCAGGUCACUUAAUAUGCAUCGGCUGCAUAAAUGCCUGCGAGAGGAAAACAGAAGUGCGUGAGCCAAAGCAGAGAGCCCCAGCUUGUUCAUUUCCGCAGAGAAGCAACAGUGCCUGAGUACCUGGAA
Sus scrofa (pig) is the source of this 613-nucleotide non-coding RNA. The record is from RefSeq and is a predicted model, not a curated record. Lineage: Eukaryota; Metazoa; Chordata; Mammalia; Artiodactyla; Suidae.